CAACACUCACACCUGUGUUAAUGAGAGAAUCACUGACAUGAUGUCAGCUGGUCCUUUUGUGGCAGGGCUGAAAUGGAGUGGAAAUGUUUUUUGGGGAUUCAUUUGCAUGGCAAAGAGGGACUUUGCAAUUAAUUGCAAUUCAUCUGAUCACUCUUCAUAACAUUCUGGAGUAUAUGCAAAUUGCCAUCAUACAAACUGAGGCAGCAGACUUUGUGAACAUUAAUAUUUGUGUCAUUCUCAAAACUUUUGGCCACAACUGUAUUAUACUAGUACUUCAGGACUAUCAGUCCCUAUGAUAUUAUACUAGUACUUCAGUACAAUCAGUCCCUAUUGUAUUAUACUAGUACUUCAGUACUAUCAGUCCCUAUGAUAUUAUACUAGUACUUCAGUACUAUCAGUCCCUAUGAUAUUAUACUAGUACUUCAGUACUAUCAGUCCCUAUGAUAUUAUACUAGUACGGAAGUACUAUCAGUCCCUAUUGUAUUAUACUAGUACUUCAGUACUAUCAGGGUGGUACUGAGAGUGCACUGUGUGUGAAGGUGCUCACGCUUGUGUGAAGGAGGUUUUUGUACGGAGACUUCACCAGAAUUAAUCACUGUGGUGGACUUUUGGAAGUGGCACAAAACUGGUGUUGAAAACUGGUCCCUCUGUCAGGCCCACAGUGUCUCUGCUCCCCCCGUCCUCUGAGCAGCUCUCCGGGGGCUCGGCCACACUGGCCUGCCUGCUGAGUGACUACUCCCCCCAGGGGGCGAUGGUGAGCUGGGAGGUGGACGGGGCGGAGGUGAAGGAGGAGGUCCUGACCACCACAGAAGAAGAGAAAGGUGGCCGCUACAGUCGCAGCAGCACCCUGACCCUGAGCAAGGCACGCUGGGAAGAGGGAGAGGUCUACACCUGCAGGGUCGCCCACGACGACACCAGUGAUUCGGCCGCCUUCCGGAAAAGUCACUGUAGUGUCUAGAAGCCAUUGUAGGGGGCUAGAGAGUCCCCACAUGGUGCAAGUGAAGGAAACAUUAGUGUUUAAGAGCUGAAUGUUACAGUAGAAUAGUGAAUAAUAUCAGUAGUGCUGUGUGCUAAAUGAACUAUUUUGAGAUUUAGUUGUACAUGUCUUCUUGCCUCUGAGUUCAAAUAAAGCUUGUUUUGAUUAAAAAAUAA
Molecule: long non-coding RNA, 1152 nt
Organism: Salmo salar (Atlantic salmon)
Lineage: Eukaryota; Metazoa; Chordata; Actinopteri; Salmoniformes; Salmonidae
Source: RefSeq, a predicted model, not a curated record